This is an RNA transcript of Globicephala melas (long-finned pilot whale), 14263 nucleotides long. It is a transcript of the gene named RFT1 homolog, with no coding region annotated. The record is from RefSeq and is a predicted model, not a curated record. NCBI's taxonomy places the organism in Eukaryota, Metazoa, Chordata, Mammalia, Artiodactyla, Delphinidae.
AAGCCGGCCGUCUGAGGCGUUUACUGGUGACGGAUCCCGGGCGCAGAGGCUAUGAGCCCCCGGGAGGUGCUGGGCCAGGCGGCUCGGCUGGCCUCCUCUGGUCUCCUCCUGCAGGUGUUGUUUCGAUUGAUCACCUUUGUCUUAAAUGCAUUUAUUCUUCGCUUCCUGUCAAAGGAAAUCGUUGGCAUAGUGAAUGUCAGGCUAACACUGCUUUACUCUACCACCAUCUUCCUGGCCAGAGAGGCCUUCCGCAGAGCAUGUCUGAGUGGCAGCACCCAGCGGGACUGGAGCCAGACCCUCAACCUCCUGUGGCUAACAGUCCCUUUGGGUGUGUUUUGGUCCGUGUUCCUGGGGUGGGCCUGGCUACAGUUGCUCGCAGUGCCCGAUCCUGACGUCAUCCCCCACUAUGGAACUGGAGUGGUGUUGUUUGGGUUCUCGGCAGUGGUGGAACUUCUGGGAGAGCCCUUCUGGGUCUUGGCACAAGCACAUAUGUUUGUCAAGCUUAAGGUGAUUGCUGAGAGCCUGUCAGUAAUCCUCAAGAGCAUCCUGACAGCUUUUCUCGUGGUGUGUUUGCCUCACUGGGGACUGUAUAUUUUCUCUUUGGCCCAGCUUUUCUAUACUGCAGUUCUGGUGCUCUGCUAUGUUAUUUAUUUCACAAAGUUACUGGGCUCCCCAGAAUCAGCCAAGCAACAAGUUCUUCCUGUCUCCAGAAUGACAGAUCUGUUACCCACUAUUACGAGAAGUAGAGCUUUUGUAAAUUGGGAAGAGGCUAAAUUGACUUGGAGUUUCUUCAAACAGUCUUUCUUGAAACAGAUUUUGACAGAAGGCGAGCGAUAUGUGAUGACAUUUUUGAACGUGUUAAAUUUUGGGGAUCAGGGCGUGUAUGAUAUAGUGAAUAAUCUUGGCUCCCUUGUGGCCAGAUUAAUUUUCCAGCCAAUAGAAGAGAGUUUUUAUAUAUUCUUUGCUAAGGUGCUGGAGAGAGAAAAGGAUGCUACACUUCAGAAGCAGGAGGAUGUUGCUGUGGCCGCCGCGGUUUUGGAGUCCCUGCUAAAGCUGGCCCUGCUCACUGGCCUGACCAUCUCUGUUUUCGGCUUUGCCUAUUCUCAACUGGCUUUGGACAUCUAUGGAGGGGCCAUGCUUAGCUCAGGAUCAGGUCCUGUCCUGCUGCGUGCCUAUUGCCUUUACGUCCUCCUGCUUGCCAUCAAUGGAGUGACCGAAUGUUUCACAUUUGCUGCCAUGAGCAAAGAGGAGGUUGACAGGUACAAUUUCACAAUGCUGGGCCUCUCAUCUUCGUUCCUGCUGUUAUCCUAUCUCCUGACCCAUUGGUGUGGCAGCGUGGGCUUCAUCUUGGCCAAUUGCUUCAACAUGGGCAUUCGGAUCACACAGAGCCUUUGCUUCAUCCACCGCUACUACCGGAAGAGUCCCCACAAGCCCCUGGCCGGCCUGUUCCUGUCACCAGUCCUCCUCGGGGCAUUUGCCCUCAGUGGUGGCAUUACUGCUGUUUCCGAGGUGUUCCUCUGCUGUGAGCGGGGCUGGCCAGCCAUGCUGGUGCACGUCGCUGUGGGGGCCCUCUGUUUGGGAGUGACUCUUGGGACAGCAUUCCUCACAGAGACCAAGCUGAUCUACUUUCUUAGGACUCAGUUGGGUGUGUCCAGACUCACUGACAAAACGACGUGACCUCGCAGAAGCCCUGUGGCACCUGGACCAGCUGUGGGGCAGUUUUAUGGUGGAACAUGUUUUUUAUGCAGAAGAGCCCAGUUAGGGGUCUGUAGUGGAGUGAGACCAACACACAGGGCAUUAACACAACAGUUUUAUGAACAAACCAGAUUAGCACAGCGCAUUUUUAUGUUCUUGAGCUAGAGCUGAAGAUUCCUUUCUUCCUCAUGUGGCUUGUGAAAUCCCUAAGUGGCAUCUCUCCAAUGACAAGAGGAUGUUCUUGCAGUGCUGCAGGUGAAGAGGAAACGAAAGAUCCUUCUCAGCCCAGCUUGCCCGGAGGAGCUUAGAAAGUGAGGACAUGGGUAACGGAGACUGCCGGAGGCCUUCUGACUCUUGGCCAACUCAGGUAGGCAAGCCUGGGGAAGCAAAGCCACAGCUUCCAGGGAGAGCCAGCAAAUGACCUCUUUCAGGCUCAGCCUGAGUGGCCCCCCCAGAGCAAGAGGGGAUGCUUCCAAAGCUUGUUAAAUGAUUUUCAGCAAUUUCAGAAAUUACCUCAACUGGUAGUUUAAAUUUCCCUGUAGCCUUAGAUUAAAGCAGAAAGAAAAAAGGUGACAGAAGAGAAUGUGGCUUUGUCCAAGGAGGGCCAGCUGCUGUCGGCAGCUUCUGAAGAAAAUGGAAGGGUCUGCGUUGGUCCCGCCAUGUGGGUGGGCAGCCAUGGGCACUGGCUCCCCUGACCUCAGCUUUAGGCCUGGGCCAUGGUGGCCAGGUGAGGACACUCCCGAAACUCCCCCCGCCGCCAGCCUCGAUCUCCAGUUUCCCAGUGUCCUCACCUUGAACCCACUCAUCAAAGCUGAUCUGAAACUUGUUGAGUUCUUCCUCCUCACCCUAAAAAAGACAACAAAAAACAACCAUUGCCUCUGCCAUCAGCCUCUCAGACUUAACCUCUAUAAACUUCUAUUUCGUUUGUUGUUUUUCCUUCUCUGGACUGGGAUAAAGGAUGCCAGGUUCAGACCAACCAGCUUUCCCCUUCCAGAAGCAGCUGGGAGGAAGAGAAAGGCCAGAACUUAGGGUGCCCAGAGGGCUCUGUCUUGAGUGCUACUAUUAAGGUGGGAUUUUCCUAAGAAGGGAAACGUGUUCUGCCCACAGUUGGGACUCAAGGAGAGCAGGGAGACACCAGGCACGUCUGGGUCUGGCACCGCUCCUUGGGGGAGGAGUAAGGCUGUUGGCCUUUGGGGUCUGCGUGGUGGGGGUCCGUCAGGCCUGCCUCUUGCUCCUCCUCCUCCUCCUGCUCUCUUCAAAAGCCUGUGACCUGGGUGUGCCACAGAGCCCGGUGCUCCAGGCCUCCCCACUCCCAUCAGCUUCUGUGGGCCUCUCCCCCAACUCUGCAAGCUUUCUGGUUGUCUUCGCAGCUUGGGAGAUGAUGUUUUGGCUCCAGGGACCAGCUGUUGAUACAGAUAAUCAACAGAGCCAGGGAGCCUGAAAAUCACGCUCUAAUUCCAGGCCUGCCGCUCUCUGUUCAUAAGAUCCUCUUCUCCAUCUACAAAAGGUUCUAAUCCCUACUCAACUGUUGCUCUAGGACCAUGGUGGGGGCCAAGAAAAAGUCACCAUGCAGCACUAUUUGGGGCUGAGUGGAGAGUGGGAAAGCAGGUGGGCCUGUGUGCUCCGAGGCUGGAGCCUGGGCCUGCGUUCAGACAGGGGAGCUAGACCAGAGCAGAAAUCAUCACAGAGUCUAAAAUAUCUCUGGGUAUUGUUCUUCCUGGUAGCAAACGAUCUUAUCUCUGACAGCAUUAUGUAUUUUAGGUAUUUCUUGUAUUAACUUAUAAGUUGUAAAUUAUAAAGUAUCCUGGGCAGCCAGUGCCCUGUAGACAGUUAGAAACGCCCCAUCCUGUCCAUGGCCUCUUUUUACUUUGCAUGUGGUGCACACAUCUUGCCAUGUACACACUGCCCUCUACAUUGUUCUUUUUUACUAUACAGUGUACCAGUUAAGUUGUCCCCAGUUUUCCCUACAUUGUAAACCACGUGGUAGAGAAUAUCUUGACACAGAGACCUGUUCUGCAUUUUGCCCACUGAUGGAGCCUGAGACCACUCUUGCUGUAUCAGAGUAGGGCCCUGCCUCUCGGCCUCAGCUUCACCCCAGAGGAAGCCCCGGGAUGGAAGGAAGCCUCUCCAGGUCACACUGUGUUAAUGACCAGCCAGCCUGGAGCCCAGUCCCAGGACCUGCUAGCCAGUGGGCCAUACCCCUUCUUUCACAUGAAAGAGGCUUUGCGCAAUGCCAGGCACCCAAGCCAUGCUCAGCGGUAACUGUGAGAUCAUGGCAGCCUGUCACUGGGUCAUUCAGCCGACUGUCUUUCCCGCUGCAGAAGCCGGGAAACUCCUGGAGGAGCAGUGGACUUUGGUGCCUCUGGUGAGCACAAGCCAGCAACGAGGACCCGACCCUCCAGGCUCCACUGCCUCCUUGGCUGCAGGUGGAGCGUGUCUGGCACAGGGAACUGCUUCCCAAGGUGUCAGGCAAGUCAUUGAUACCCCAGGCCUCCCCCCGGAGAAUCUAACUAAUCAGCCUGGCUGGAUGGGGAACUUGGGAACUAAAGUUACCAGUAAACAGAAAGGAAGUGAAACCACCCUCUGCUCCUGCUCCUCCCACGGGGUGACGUGAUCUCCUCAGGGAAGUGGCUUUGGGCCUUAUUUCCCUGCCCAGAGGCAUAGGAUGCAGCCGGUUAGGCUCGAGGCCUUAUUUGUGCAGCCUUCCUGGGUGCUUGGUGAGCCACCGGCCCAUAGGUGGAGUCCAUGGUCUUGACAAGGUCACUCCAAGCUCUCAGAGCUGCAUGUGGAUCCCUGCUAGGCUGUCUCCCAACUCUGCCACCCUGGACGAGUUACUCUACCUCUCCAGCCUCAGCCUGCUUUCUAUCUAAACUCUACCUAUUUUUAUUUUCAGUUUUUCUUUUGAUCAAAAAAACACAUGUACAUAGUUUUAAAAGAUAACCCUCAAAGGGCAGGUUCUGCCCCCCUCCAAGCUUCCUUCUCCUUGGCCCAUUGUUUUAGUUCUUUGCAUCAUUCCUUCUUCUGUUUCCCUUCAUAUUUCUAAGUAAUUUGCUUAUAAUGCUAUUUCUUGAUUGUUUCUGCUUUAGAAUAUUGACCUCCUCGUAUGGAAAAAUGAGCUCUGAUGGCCACCUCCCUGCACACUUACCUUCCCAUCCUCCCAGUGUUAUGAUUUGGGGUAAAUUGAUAUUCAUGUUCACAUGGUUAAAACUAUAGAAACAUUGUUCUCUGCUAAACCAAGUAGUAUCCUAUUUCCUUUCUACUACAAUCCUCAAGCUAUUAAUGGUCUCGUUAUUUCAUUUGCUUUUUUAAAAAUACUUUAUACUGUCCCCUACAAAAUUAUAAAACUCUGAGCAAACACUAUAAAGCUCUUGGCAACAUGACUAACCUCAGCAAGUAUCACGGAGUCUGUGUUUUCCCUGGAGACUUUGCUCAGGGAGCCCCUCACCCCCCCCCCACUCUCACGGUCCCAUCUGUGGGCCCCUCCCUUCCCCAGAGGGAAAAGGCUCAGAGAAGUUAAGGAACUUUGCCCAACAUCACAGCAGUAGUAAAUGGGGGCAGAGAUGUGGACCUAGCCCAGGAGAUAGAGUUACGGUCAAGAGCCACCACCCCCUCAUCGGAGGAUGCUGCAGCCCUGUGGGGUGGCGACCAUGUAAACAGGACCACGUGGUGGGUUUAACCUGCAGCAAGAUUGCACGUGUGGGAAUUCCCUGGCAGUCCAGUGGUUAGGACGCUCAUGGCACUUUCACUUCCAUUGGCCCUGGUUCAAUCCCUGGUCGGGGAACUAAGAUCACACAACCUGAGCAGUGCAGCAAAAAAAAGGAAAAAAAGGAUUGAACGUGGGGCAGAGGCCUCAGCCCUGACUGCAGAGGGCAGAGGCAGGUCUCCCUGCUCAUCUUGAGUGACCCUUCCUGAUAAGUUCCCCCGCAUCCACGUCCAUCCCUGUCCCAGGCAGAUUUGAGAACAGGCUGAGCCACAAGUCUGCCUGACAGCCAGGUCCACACGUUUCUCUGACUGCCCAUGGCUACCUCCCAUUGAACAGGCUGAGCCAGCCCUCACGCAACUGCCAGGCUGACACGUGCCUUCCAGUGCCACUGGCAACCCCCUUAUUACAGGCCACCCCAGGUCUCCUUCACUAGGGGACUGAGCUCUGACCCCAGCCACCAUGCUCUGCACUGGAGGCGGCUCCUUUCCUUUGCUGGUCACAGUCAGCUAAGGUGAGCUCCUGGGAAAGCGUGGUUCCGAGGGCCCCAGGGGGCCUGGUCAUCCAGUUGUUCACACACAGGCAAUUCCCAGCCAAGGCCACCGAGCCCCUAAAGGCAGCGCACACCCCUGAAGGGGACAAAGAGCCUUCUGAGUCCAGAGCUCUUGCUGGAAAGCCCUGUGCCUCACACGGAAGAGGACUGUGCAUGGUCUGGGGCCUCUGAUGACCACCAUCCACCCGCCCCUGAAGCUGCACACCAGAGUGUUGUCAGACGGAGGCCAGACCGGCAGGGGAUGCUGCCACUGGGCCAGGACUGCCCCUGGGACACAGGAGCUGGUACAGGACAUGUCUCGCUGGCCUCAGCCAUCAGGAAGCAAGGAGUGGGCAUCAGAGAUACUUGGGAAAUGGAAGAUGCAUAGAUGUCUCCAAGCAGCCACAUGCCUUCUAAACAGACAACUCACCACGAUUUAAUUGGCAGCUCAAAUUCAGUCUGCUAAGUAGGGAAGAAGAAAGUGUGUGGUUGUCAUGGCAACACCAAAUUGCCCAGGACUGUUGGUCUCCCAGGUAGGAAAGGGAGGGGAGCAGAGCCCAGCCUCUGUUUCCCUGAUGGGGAUGUUCUGGGGAACAGGGGCCAGGCUGGACACACCUGCUUUCUUCCCACCACCCCAGCUUGCGGCUGAGGGCCUGAGCCGUGUGGUGUGGUGUAAAGGGGGCUGGCUGGCUCAGGGCCCUCACCCUGGGGUCUGGGGCCCAGGUUGUUCAGCCAUGCGUGUUCCAGCCCCACCUUAGAGCAACUGGGACUUGGACCCCCCUUUUCCUCUUACCCCCCAAAUCCUAUGACUUCCUAGCGGUGCUGUGCCCGUAGGCUUGGUCAUGGGCAUGUGCACAGCUGGCCUUGCUGGCCUAUCCUCUGAGUCCAGUCUGAAUGACCAAGGGAACAACAGCCUCACCCAGAGAGUGCCAACCGGAGCCACACGAAGGAGGGUGUGGGGCUGAUCCUUCCACUCACAAGCACACCGCACUGCCAGCCUGGCCUCCUUCUCUCCAUAAGGAAUGGGAAGAAGCCAUCUGAUGGUUGCCCCCUGUAAUCUAUGCCAAGCUGGGCCCAGGCCUGGGUGGGGGUGAGUGGUAGAGGAAGGGGCUGCUCAAGUGGGGGAGUUAAGCACUAGGAGCUUCGCCUGCCCUCAUACCCACCUGCACGGCCCUGCUGAUCAGCUUCAUGUCUAUCUCUGUGGUCCCAGGGCCCGGUCCUAGGAGGUCCAUGGACACUUAAUGCAUGAAUGAAUGAGUGAAUAAAUGAAUGAAUGAGUGGAUGACGUAUGGAGUGAGGACUGGGAGCAGAGGAACUUGAGAGGCCAAGUUGGGAUGAGGAGCUUGGGGGAAGGCCUCAAAGGAGGUGUUUGUCAGGCUCCCCAUCCUCCAGUCUGCCCCAGCCCUGGGGCAGCUCCCAUCUUCCAGAGGGACCACUGAGGUCCCUGGCAGAUGUGACCCUGUCACUUGAUCCCCCUUCAGAGAAGCAGGGACCCCAGGGCCCUUCCCCCAAGGCCCUUCUCACCUGGUGCCUGAUGGGGACUGCCUCCCUGGGACCCCACAGACCUGACUGCUUUUGCUACAUGGUCUGUGGGUUCUCCUGCUGUCUAAUUAGUGCUAAUUGGGAGCAGGAAGUGUGUGCAUGAGUGGGGAUUCGUGGGGGUGUGUGUGCCUGGAGCUCGUAUGUCCUUGUCAGAACAUAGAGGCUUCUUGGGAUGGGCCCUUGCCCAGAGCCACGGGGUCUCUGUGGGGCCUGGGUGGGACUGACUGGGCAUCGUGUGCGCUGAGUGCUUCUCUGCAGAGGCCUGUGCUGUCACUGGCCACCUCCUACCCUAGGUGCCAGCUGCCCCAGGGCCAGGCAGGCCCACUUUGUUCAUGUGAAUCUUCAGCGCCUGGCACAGAGCCACAACUCUUUGCAUUUCAGACUCCAGGAAUGAAGGGAAGAGGCCUCCAGGGCUGGCAGGAGAGACAUGGAGGGCCUGGGGGAAUGACCCGGUCCCAGGCUCAGCUCAUGGUUCAGUAAAGGCAAGGAAAGACUUGUUUAUCUGAUGGGUUCACACUUGUGCCUCCCUUGAGGGAGAGAGGAUGCAGAGGCCCUCCCUAGAGAGGCGUGACUUCCCCUUAGUUUUCCCUCCUUCCCCAGGUCCCCGCCUCCUUUCACUUGGGGCACAGACGGGGGUGUCCAGAAGCAAAGCAGCUUUUGUGUCAAGCCCUAGGCUAAGUUCUCAACUCCUGUGGUGCUCCCCCCAUCCAUAGGCACUGGUCAUAGCCUGAUGAUAGGCUGCAAUGGGGGAAGCAGGGGUGCGGGCGUGUGGGGAACCUGGGCAGAAGCAUGUGCCCCAUUCCAGAGCUAAGGCUCUCCCUGCUUCCUGUAUUGCUUGUGUUGACCAUGGUCCGUGAGUACCCUCAUCCUGGGCACAGUCAGGCCUCCCUCUUAGUGGACACAGACCCUGUGACCCUAGGACCACCAAGAGCCCGGAAGCAGGGCCCUCAGGGCUCAAAGGUGCUCAGAGAUUAAGACAGCUGAGCCGGCUGCUAGGACCAGCCUCAGUUUUAGCCACUGUAAAACAGACUUGUUAUUGUGAAGCCGGCACUGGAAAAGGUAGAGUGGGCAGUGGGUUCCUCUGAGGCUUGGGAUCCAAAAGGAGAGGUCUGACCGCCGGUGGCCACUAGAGGGCAGGACCCUCCCGUGUGUUUCUUCCAAAGGGCUGGCGAGCAGGGUGGUGGGAGACAAUGGCAAGGCAGGCCCUGGACACAGUUGCCAAAUGCUGAAUGGCUGCUAGUCAGGUCCAGCAGAGGCUGGGGCACUGACCAGAAGUCCACCUGGGCCCUACACCCCACAAACCCUCGUUGAGCCUUUAGGCUUUCCCCUCCUGAGCCUGCUCAGCACCUCGCCUCCCUUCUUAGAAUAUCAGCGGCAGAGGAGCAAUUAGCACUGGCUCUUCAGCCUCCUCUGGGGACACUGAGGCAGGCAGGAACUCAGCUGGCCACACCCCAUGCGUUGGCUUGGAGUAGACCAAGGGCUGACCGUGACCCAGGCACUCACAAAGACUCCGUGGGGUCAGAGUUGUUGGGAUCAUGCUGCUUUGGCAGUUGAGGAAACUGAGGCCCAGAGGGGCUUUUGUCUGCCCGAGGUACACCAGCAAUGGUGGUACAGGGAUUCCAGCCCGGGCAGAGGGACGGCAGAGCCUGUGUUUGAGCUACCACGCAGCGUUGCCAUCACACAUGCAGAGACACCCUCCCAUGACCCUCCCAGACAUGAAUGCGUGUGUGCCCACAGGGCCCUGGUAGCUAGCUGCAGCAAGCACAGGGUGUCUCUGCACCCUGCCUCUCCCAGCCAGAGGCUUCUGCCUCAUCCGGGCCUGGCCGGUAGUGAGGCCCAGGAGUACUGCCUCCCGGGUACAGGCUCCUUGAGGAUGCCCACCCCACCCCUGGGCAGGAGGAGCUGUGUGAGAAGCUGUCCAUGCUGUGACCACGCCUCCUUCAUGGCCCCUUGGCGCUAGUGGGGAAGUGGGUGCCAAUUAAGGGAGCAGAUGGUGGCCCUGUCCACCUCAUGAGGCUGUGCUUACAGCCACAGGAGUCAAGGACCUGCGUUUAAGCCCUUGUUUGGCCUUGUUCCUCCAACCAGGCUUGGAGCUCUUUGCCCAGGGCGGGGAGUGGGGAGUUCCUGACCCAGGCUGCCCUACUUCUGCCCUUUCCCAGAGAGGGCGAAGGCCAUGGAGCUACUGGGCAUCAUAUUUCCGGUGAGGGCCUGAGCAGUUAGAGGCUGAGUCCAGCUGUCCCAAUACUGCCUUGGAGCAGUAGAGAAUGAGGGUGUCUUUGGGGCCUGUUUCUGGAGCUCUGGUCUGAACUGAGCUAUAGCUCAUACAGCUGAUUUGCAUGGAGAUCCCCCAGUGGGCUGCUGGGCUGAAGUAGUGGGCCCUGUUAAGGGCUGGGGUCUGGUUGGGGAGGUAGCCCUGUUGCCAGAUCUUUCUCUAUGGCCCAGUUGGCCUCCUGGUGUGUUGAGACCUGUGAGCAUCAGGCACGCCUGGGAGGGCAGCUCCACAGGCCAGCCUGAACAGGGUACUUGGGGGAGCCCUGUCUUCCAGCCAAGUAUCUGGGGAACAAACCCCACAGACUUCAGAGUGCACCUCCAAUAGUGCUAGGGUCCUCUCAACAGCUCCAGUGACCAUAGGAUUCAGUGCACCCAUUUUACAGAUGGGGACCCCCAGACUCCGGCCACACCACCCCUUCACCAAUAGCUUCUUCACUGAUCUCCUUGACUUCAGUUCUCUCUCUUCCUUCCUUGUUCUCAAUUAAAACAAUUUUUUUAACUUUUAAAAUUAGUUUUUAUUACAUAAGAAGUACAUGAAAACAUCCUCUUUUUUUUUUUGCAGUACGCGGGCCUAUCACUGUUGUGGCCUCUCCUGUUGUGGAGCACAGGCUCCGGACGCGCAGGCUCAGGGACCAUGGCUCACGGGCCCAGCUGCUCCGCGGCAUGUGGGAUCUUCCCGGACCGGGGCACAAACCCGCGUCCCCUGCAACAGCAAGCAGACUCUCAACCACUGCGCCACAAGGGAAGCCCAAAAAACAUCCUCAUUUUUAAAAUAUAAUACAGUAAGAUUAAAUUGAAAGGCUCCCUUGGCCUUGUUCUUCACAAGCUCAGGGUUCACAAGGGUUAGGAGUUUGAUAUUUCUCUAUAAAAUGAGAAUAAUUAUACUUGUGCUACCCAAGCAACAGAUUUAUUGUAUAUAAAAAAAAAGAAAGUGCUUUAGGAGAAUGUGUGUUUAACACAUAUAGAUGAUUUAUCCAAUGUCCUGUGAAUGUGAAAUGCUUGUGUCCCAGUGGUGGUGCUCAGCUGUGCUAAUGCCCUGGCCCUGCAGGCAGCCCAUCCCAUGAUGACACUGCCACCAACGCCCUGACUUCCUAUCUCUGUCCCCUUAUUUUGGCUUCAAGACUCAAUCAUUUUCUUUUAAAAGCUCACAUCUCAAACUAUUUUCAGAGUUUAUUUUCUUUUUUCUCCCAACCCCCCACAAUAAGAUUUGGGGUGGGAUGGGGACAGGUAGGGACGUGAGGGAAGCCAAGCAGGGCAGGAAAUGUCUAGCAGAACACCCCUCCCAGACUGUAGACCCAGGUGCUCCUGCACAGCCUGUGCGUCUGGCAAAGCCUGUGCUCCUGUGGACACGCAGCACCCCCAAACCAGCCAUGUCCCCCUCCCCCUCCUCAGUCAUUGUAAUUGCAGCAGAGGACAUGCACUAUAUGGAUAUCCCAUGGGCUUAUCUGUUCCUCUGUUCCUGGAUGUCUAGGCUGUUUCCAGUGGGGUGCUAUUCCAGACUGCCACAACGGACACCCCUGUGCACAUCUCCUCUGCGGUCUUUCAGAGAUGCUGAGAACUGAACUCGCUGAGCUGAGACGCAGGUGCUAAAUCACCCUCCAGGGAUUUCCCUGGCGGUCCAGUGGUUAAGAUUCCGCACUCCCAAUGCAGGAGGCACGGGUUCGAUCCCUGGUUGGGGUACAAAGAUUCAGCAUGCCACACAGUGCAGCCUAAAAAAAAAGAAAAAAAAAAAAAUCACCCUCCAAACUCUUGAGCUCACACCCAGGAUCAGAAGACUUUGUUGCACUAACAACACUUUGUUGCACUAACACUUUGCCAAAACAUCUCCUUUCAAUGUGAAUUUCUUUCAUUACUCAUCUUAUAUGUUACUUAUUAAUUAAUUAAUUAAUUUAUAUUGUAUAUAUUUGAGAUGUAUAACUUUACAUCUUAAAGGCAGGAUCUGUCUGGUGAGGCCUCUCCUGAAGUAGAGCCCUGACCUCAGCUCCUUCUCCAAGGCCGGGAGACUUGGAGAUUGAGGUCAGCGGCCUGCUGGGCCCUCUCCUCCAGGCUGGAUCUGAACUACACCCUGGCCCCAGGUUUCUUCCUGACAUCUGACAGCAGGGCUGGCUGGAGGUGUAGCUGACAUGGUCCCUGCUCAGGCUCAAUCUAACUAGGGGGAAACUGCCCCAAAGCAACUCACUUGGAAAAGAUUGACCUUUCCUGGACUUCUCACUCUGAAUUAACAAAUCCCAAUCUGUCUCGGCCUUCACUUUCUGCUUCUAGAAAAUGGGGCGAAGGAGGACCCAGAAUAGGAGAUUAAGAAGCAACAGACAGGCAGGUGCUUUGGGCAGUGGGAAGAUAGGGUUCGGGUCCUGGGAGCUCAGUGUGGAUUCUAGCAUCCACCAGGCCAGGUGCUGGGAGAGGUUGAAGUGUCAAGUUUGGGGCUCUCCUGGGCCUGUCUCAGAUGUUUUUCCCAGCCCUCCCUGAGCUCACCGUGCCUUUUCUAUGCCCACUCCCCCCCCCCGCCCCCGCAUCCCACCAAACAGCAUUGAGGAUCUGCUGGCCAGUAGCCACCAAGAGCUCCAGGGAAAUAGAGAGCAAGCCCAUUUGAUGAUGGAAAUGGGCUUUCAAAAAAGCCCAUUCUUGGGAUGCCGUGGGCUUGCUUCCCUCUGACCAAAGGAGACCCCACCUUGGAGAGGGUAAGGAGAGGGUAGGGAGAGAGGAAGUGCAGGGGGCAGGGGCCGGACUGGGCUUUCUGCCUGGCUGCAGUGCUUUGGGGUUAUGUUGAGUGUCUGGGUGGAUGAUCACAGGCAGGUGACUUUUCUCUGAGCUCCUGUGUCAUCAUCUUUAAAGUAGGCAGAAUACUACCUGCCACACAGUGUUGUGGUGAGAAUUGAAUGAAUCCACACAUGGACAGACCAUCUAGCCAAGGGCUGCACACAUGUGAAGUGGACCACAAGCAAUCGCUGAUCAGACAUUGCCCAGUGUUUAGUGGACACCCAAUAAAUGGUGACUGUUAUCACGGCGGCAAUAGUUUAUGUGCCCAUGGCCGUAGGCACCUGUGGACGUCUAUAAAUCCACUCCUGUUGCCGGGGAUCCUCCCGGGAUGUGUGUGAAUGAGUGUGUGUGUGGUAUGUGUUUCCACAUGUGGACAACCAUGUCUUGCCACAGGUGUGGGUGUGGACCUCCUGGGGUCAUUUCUUCUGCAGAACCAGUGCUCAGAAGGUAACAAGUAGGGGGCAGUCUGAGGAAGGGCUGGUGCUUGGAUGGAAAAAGGAGUGGACAGGCUGAGCGUGGGCAGAAGACAGGGCAGGAAAAAACAAAGAUGAGAUUAGUCUAUAUUGGGUGCAGUGGCUAAGGUCUGUUAAGGUCAAUCCCUACCCCUUAGGAGAGGCUUGGGCUGGGCCCCUUCUUCCCAGCAAGGUUGGCUAUAGCUAACCUUAUGCCUUGCCCCAGCCAGGCAGUCCUGGGGCCUCAGAAAAGCCCAGAGUCUAGUGGUGACAGGUGGCCCAGCUGACUUGAGGGCAUGAUGUGGCCUGUCCGAUUGUGAUCUUCCUCCAAGCCCUCCAUGCUGUAAACUGCCACUUACAUGUGUAUGAUCUCAUUCACCAGCCAGUGCACUCGACAUUCGGUUGAGACAAGAACCAGGAAGAUCAAUUCCCAGCCAGGCUCCUGAAGGAUGGGUUGGAUGAAGGGAGCGCUAGUGCGCACACACAGGGCCUCUGCCUGCUUCUCUGCAGCACCCCUCCCCCAGAGGCUCCUCAUUUCGGAGUGCAUCCUGGAGGCUUAUUUUUCCUGUCGAGGAAUAAGUUACAGUCAGUAAAAAGCACUAAUCAGGACUGUACAACCCGAUGACUCUCAUGCAGAUGGACACCCAUGUAACCAUGACCAGAGCAAGGUUCAUCACCUCAGAAAAUUUCCUGUGUGCCAUCCCAGUCUCUAGCACCCACUCAAGAAGUAAUUGCUACUCUGACCUCCAUCAUCAGAAAUUAGUUUUGCUGUCCUAGAACAUCAAGUAAAUGUAGUCAUACAGCAUGUUCUUUUUUACGUCCAGUUUCUUUUGGUCAGAAUGAUUUAUUUUAGAUUUGCCCAUGUUGCUGUGUCUAACAUUUGUUCAUUCAUUUUUAUCACUGAGUAGUAUUCCAUUGUAUAAAUAUACCACAAUUUACCUAUUCUUCUGUUGACGGGCCUCUGGGUUGUUUCCAGUUUUCAGCUAUUAUGAAUAAAGCUGCUCUGAAUAUCUUGUGCAAGUCUCUGUGUGUGGGUGUGUUUUUACUUCUCUUGGGUAAAUUUAACUGAAGAGUGGAGAAACUGGAUCACAGGGUAAGUGUGUGUUUAAUUUUAUAGGAAACUGACAAUAGCAAUGAAUGUGAAUUCCAAUUGUUCUUCAUCCUUGGAAGUCCCUCUUUUCCAGACCCUUGGUUGCCUCAAAGAGCCCACCCCAUUUCUCAUCUAGAAGUGAGCCUGGCUGCUAGAGGGGGCAGGCAUCCUCCAGGAACCCAGAGUCCUGCUACAAUGGAGGAUCUGGCUGAUGUGGGAGACUA